CACGGGGGUUGCGAGCGUUGUCCAGAAUUACUAGGCGUAAAGGGCAGGCAGGCGGAUCCAUAAGUUUAUCGUUUAAGGCGUCGGCUUAACCGGCGUAGGGCGGUAGAUACUGUGGAUCUGGAAUGCGGUUGGGGAAGACAGAAUUCCUGGUGUAGCGGUGGAAUGCGCAGAGAUCAGGAGGAAUACCGAAGGCGAAGGCAGUCUUCCAAGCCGUUAUUGACGCUCAACUGCGAAGGUGUGGGUAUCAAACAGGAUUAGAUACCCGGGUAGUCCCUGA
RNAcentral lists this ribosomal RNA (277 nucleotides) under uncultured prokaryote. RNAcentral describes it as "partial 16S ribosomal RNA". It matches the Rfam family "Bacterial small subunit ribosomal RNA", at positions 524 to 800 of the family's 1533-position model. The record is from RNAcentral.